Xiphophorus hellerii (green swordtail) is the source of this 1410-nucleotide long non-coding RNA. RefSeq lists it as uncharacterized. The record is from RefSeq and is a predicted model, not a curated record. The transcript is spliced from 2 exons. Lineage: Eukaryota; Metazoa; Chordata; Actinopteri; Cyprinodontiformes; Poeciliidae.
CGCAGAACUGAUCUCCAUGUAACCAGGAAACAGCGGGUACGGGAGCUGCAGCAGCCAAAACACUGCUGAAGUUACUGUAUAUCCUUACCUUCGCGUAGAUAUCAGCUAAUUCUCUGAAAUACAGUCCAGUCCAGAGUGUAAAUCAGCUGACCAGCUUCUUCUUUGUUUUAAUGGCCUCUUUAGCAGUACGCUUUCAGUCAUGUUUGCCUUCAUAUUUUGAAGUAGUUUGAAUACUUUUCUUAAUUUCUGCAUGAAUGAUGGCAGACAUAUGCUACAUAGUGGGAAAAGUGAUUUUUGUAUUUUUGAUCUUGGUUGUAUUUUGCAUGUUUAUAUUGUGUUGUAGUUUUUUUUCCCUUUAAUUUAAGGGACAAUUCAAAAACGGUCUGAACUGAGGCUUGGUUGUCUAGUAAGGAGGCGGAGUGCAGUUAUUCAGCUGCUCAUAAAAGUGUCUGCAAAGACUAAUUGAGGCCAGGUAAAAGGAGUUAAAGUAGAAGGAACAGCAGGACGGACAUUGGGCGACUGAGACCGGUGCGCUCCAGGACGAGGAGUAAGUGGAACCUACACGCUGGGCUCAGAGUCUGGAGGAGGUGGACAGACGGCCUAGCACAGAUGAUCAAGGCAAAGGGAAACCUCUGCCCACGCCUUUGGUUCAGUCGAACUAGGCGGUGUGGCAAACCUGAGGAGUGGAGUGGUGCCAGAACGUCAUGGGAUCAACUGUAUGCAGGCAGGAGGAAUACACUGCAGACAGAUCACUCCAAUCUGAGACAACACAGCAAGCGGGACUCAAUCAGUGACUCCCUGUACCAAAAGUGGCCCCUCAUCUGGUGACUUUUAAAGACAAUUGUUGGACUGUGCUUUUUAUCCAACAAGAAGAAAUUGUUUUGAGUCCACUACUAAUGGUGAUUAGAAAGAAAUUAUCUUGAACUUGAUUGUUCCUUGGUUUUUGAGUUGCUUGCUCCUCCUUGUGUGUAAGACUUGGCUUGGGACCAUACAGGUCACACAUAUUUACACCAUGAAAUUAGCAUGUCACUAUAAAAUUUAUGUCUCCGUACAAGUUUUUUUUUUUUUUUUUUUUUUUUCCAGUAUUGUCGUGAAAGAUGUGAUAUGGACCAACCUGUCAGGUAUUUCUGCAGCUGGCAGUAGGACCACUGGGAGGAGGCAGAGGAGCCUGAUGUUUCCACAGAUGAUCUGUCUCAUGGUAUGCUGGUAGCACAUUUGUUUUUUUACACAAAUAUGUAAGACAUUUUUUUAGAAAGGUGCAACUUUAAAUAUGUUUGAUAUUUAACAGUACAUUAUGUAUGUGUAAAUAAUAUAUUGUCACACUUCAGAAUAAGUCUCAGAGUUCUAAAGGUUUAUGUGCUUGGGUCAAUUCCCUUUAUUUGUCCACAUAAUAAAAUUAAUUCUUAUGCA